AAUUCUCCACCACCACCUUAUGAGUACAAGUCACCUCCACCACCAUAUGAACAUAAGGCUCCACCUUACGAGUACAAGUCUCCACCUCCACCUUCCCCGUCACCUCCACCUCCUUAUGUAUACAAGUCACCACCUCCACCACCGUAUGAGCACAAAGCUCCACCAUAUGAGUACAAGUCUCCUCCACCACCUUCUCCAUCACCUCCACCUCCUUACUACUAUAAAUCUCCACCACCACCUUCUCCCUCACCCCCACCACCUUACUACUACAAGUN
This 275-nucleotide long non-coding RNA is filed under the name Trifolium pratense (red clover). Its description in RNAcentral is "long non-coding RNA (TPRA_LNC000210)". Lineage: Eukaryota; Viridiplantae; Streptophyta; Magnoliopsida; Fabales; Fabaceae. The record is from RNAcentral.